This 97-nucleotide microRNA precursor is filed under the name Calypte anna (Anna's hummingbird). RNAcentral describes it as "mir-490 microRNA precursor family". It matches the Rfam family "mir-490 microRNA precursor family". The record is from Rfam by way of RNAcentral. RNAcentral also lists the same sequence under 1 other name. Lineage: Eukaryota; Metazoa; Chordata; Aves; Apodiformes; Trochilidae.
UCAUAAGUUCAUGGUUCGACACCAUGGAUCUCCAGGUGGGUCAAGAUUAUAGAGAUACACCAACCUGGAGGACUCCAUGCUGUUGAGCUGUUCUCAA